This 1317-nucleotide ribosomal RNA is filed under the name Triticum aestivum (bread wheat). Its description in RNAcentral is "partial small subunit ribosomal RNA". The record is from RNAcentral. Lineage: Eukaryota; Viridiplantae; Streptophyta; Magnoliopsida; Poales; Poaceae.
AUGGGGGUGCCGCUGCCGGAGUCGAGGUGGCGGCCGUGGGCUGAACUCCCCGAGAGGUACCUCAGCGACAUCAUCCGCAACCUCCCGUGCAUCCUCGACCACGCCCGCUUCUCCGGCGUCUGCACUAGGUGGCGCGAGACGGCGCGGCCGAACCCGCCGAGGUUCCCGUUCCCGUGGCUGAUGAUGCCAUCCACCGCCGCGACCUCCUUCUUCUGCGUCGCCUGCGGAGCGACCCACCACCGCCCCAGGCUCCCCGCGGACGCCCGCGGCGCGCGCUUCUGCGGCUCUUUCCCGGGCGGCUGGCUCGUCGCCGAGCUCCCGUGGCCGCACGGCCACUACGCGUUGCUCAACCUCCUCACCGGCGCGCGCGUCCCCCUCCCGAGGCUCCUCGCCGUCCCUUGCCACGGUGGCGGCAAGAUGUGCCCCGUCGUUCUCCACGCCGUCACCCUCUCCGCCGCGCCGUCCGUCGAGCCCGGCCCCGGCGAGCCCUACUACGCCGCCGCCAUAGUGGCUGGCCAGUCCAACAUCGCGUUCUGGUGCCCGCGCGCCGGGAACUGCUGGUUUCCGCCGAUCUUCUCGUCGGACGCCAGCGACGAAUCGUGGCACGAUUUCUUGCCCAAGGACAGGAUCGAGGACGUGAUAUACUUCUCCGGCAAGUACUUCGUGGGCUUCUACGUCCUCACCAACGAGGAGGACCUCCUGAUGUUCCGGCCGAAGCCCGACGGCGACGGAGCGCAGCUCUCCACGUUCACGGUGCGCUACAGCUUCCCCGGCCACCGCGCGGCCGAGCCGGCGCCGGGGCAGACGGUCUCCCGCUACCUCGUCGUGUCCCGCGGAGAGCUGCUGAUGAUCGUGAGGUUCGCCGGCCCCGAGGAGCGCACGAGGUUCGACGUGCUCGUGCUGGAGGAGAAGAAGAUCGUCGGGGGAGCGGACCACAACGACCCGCCCCGAGUCUUGGCUUCUUGGAGACGGUGCUGCAGCGCGGCGACCCUCAGCGGCCGGAGGAUCUUCCUCGGGCGGUGCUGCUCCGUGGCCGUCGACGUGGGGUACCCCUUCCCGCUCUACAUCUACUUCCUGGACGACGGCAGGAGGUCCCACGGCGCCCUCCCGACGGCCGGGAGCCCGCCGUACCCCUGCAGCGAGACCGGCGGGUUCUGGUUCUUCAACAAGGGCAUCGUGCGCUGCCUCCCGCGAGAGCCUCCGUCGGACUGCUCGCCGUGGAUUUGGUUCUACCUGUCCGACGAGACAUUCCGGGCCGGCGUGCCUCCGCCUGCAACUCCGGCUUGCGGCUGGGGGGUCGACACUGACAGUGAGUAG